RNAcentral lists this ribosomal RNA (292 nucleotides) under uncultured eukaryote. Its description in RNAcentral is "partial 18S ribosomal RNA". It matches the Rfam family "Bacterial small subunit ribosomal RNA", at positions 902 to 1197 of the family's 1533-position model. The record is from RNAcentral.
CAAAGGAAUUGACGGGGGCCCGCACAAGCGGUGGAGCAUGUGGUUUAAUUCGAAGCAACGCGAAGAACCUUACCAGGUCUUGACAUCCCUUGACAGCCUCAGAGAUGAGGUAUCUCUUCGGAGCAAGGAGACAGGUGGUGCAUGGUUGUCGUCAGCUCGUGUCGUGAGAUGUUGGGUUAAGUCCCGCAACGAGCGCAACCCUUGCCUUUAGUUGCCAUCAUUAAGUUGGGGACUCUAGAGGGACUGCCGGUGACAAAUCGGAGGAAGGUGGGGAUGACGUCAAAUCAUCAUG